CGACUACAUUAGAUACCCCGGUAGUCCUAGCCGUAAACGAUACUCGCUAGGUGUCGGCCACGGUGCGACCGUUGUCGGUGCCGUAGGGAAGCCGUGAAGCGAGCCACCUGGGAAGUACGGCCGCAAGGCUGAAACUUAAAGGAAUUGGCGGGGGAGCACCACAACGGGUGGAGCUUGCGGUUUAAUUGGAUUCAACGCCGGACAUCUCACCGGAUAAGACAGCUGAAUGAUUGUCAAUCUGAAGGUUUUACAUGACUAGCUG
RNAcentral lists this ribosomal RNA (262 nucleotides) under uncultured archaeon. RNAcentral describes it as "partial 16S ribosomal RNA". It matches the Rfam family "Archaeal small subunit ribosomal RNA", at positions 721 to 982 of the family's 1478-position model. The record is from RNAcentral.